RNAcentral lists this ribosomal RNA (429 nucleotides) under Chloroflexota bacterium. RNAcentral's name for it is "Chloroflexi bacterium partial 16S ribosomal RNA". It matches the Rfam family "Bacterial small subunit ribosomal RNA", at positions 355 to 776 of the family's 1533-position model. Lineage: Bacteria; Bacillati; Chloroflexota. The record is from RNAcentral.
UGGGGAAUAUUGCACAAUGGGCGCAAGCCUGAUGCAGCCAUGCCGCGUGUAUGAAGAAGGCCUUCGGGUUGUAAAGUACUUUCAGUCGGGAGGAAGGUGGUAAGGUUAAUAACCUUGGCAAUUGACGUUACCGACAGAAGAAGCACCGGCUAACUCCGUGCCAGCAGCCGCGGUAAUACGGAGGGUGCAAGCGUUAAUCGGAAUUACUGGGCGUAAAGCGCACGCAGGCGGUUGAUUGAGUCAGAUGUGAAAUCCCCGGGCUUAACCCGGGAAUUGCAUCUGAUACUGGUCAGCUAGAGUCUUGUAGAGGGGGGUAGAAUUCCAUGUGUAGCGAUGAAAUGCGUAGAGAUGUGGAGGAAUACCGGUGGCGAAGGCGGCCCCCUGGACAAAGACUGACGCUCAGGUGCGAAAGCGGGGGGAGCAAACAGG